RNAcentral lists this ribosomal RNA (290 nucleotides) under Lynx pardinus (Iberian lynx). RNAcentral's name for it is "partial 16S ribosomal RNA". Lineage: Eukaryota; Metazoa; Chordata; Mammalia; Carnivora; Felidae. The record is from RNAcentral.
AUUGACCUUCCCGUGAAGAGGCGGGAAUAUAACAAUAAGACGAGAAGACCCUAUGGAGCUUUAAUUAACCGACCCAAAGAGACCCCAUUUAUCCAACCGACAGGAACAACAAACCUCUACUAUGGGUCGACAAUUUAGGUUGGGGUGACCUCGGAGAAUAAAAUAACCUCCGAGUGAUUUAAAUCAAGACUAACCAGUCAAAAGUAUUACAUCACUUAUUGAUCCAAAAACUUGAUCAACGGAACAAGUUACCCUAGGGAUAACAGCGCAAUCCUAUUUCAGAGUCCAUA